CCUACGGGUGACAGCAGUGGGGAAUAUUGCACAAUGGGGGAAACCCUGAUGCAGCAACGCCGCGUUAGUGCAGAAGUAUUUCGGUAUGUAACGCUCUAUCAGCAGGGAAGAAGGCAGCCGGUACCUGACUAAGAAGCUCCGGCUAACUACGUGCCAGCAGCCGCGGUACUACGUAGGGGGCGAGCAUUCUCCGGAUUUACUGGGUGUAAAGGGGGCGUAGACGGUUAAUCAAGUCUGAAGGGAAAGCCCGCGGCUCAACUGCGGAACGGCGUUUGAAACUGAGUAACUAGAGUGCUGGAGGGGCAGGAGGAAUUCCUGGUGUAGCGGUGAAAUGCGUAGAUAUCAGGAGGAACACCGGUGGCGAAGGCGGCCUGCUGGACAGUAACUGACGUUGAGGCUCGAAAGCGUGGGGAGCAAACAGGAUUAGAUACCCUUGUAGUC
RNAcentral lists this ribosomal RNA (441 nucleotides) under uncultured bacterium. RNAcentral's name for it is "partial 16S ribosomal RNA". It matches the Rfam family "Bacterial small subunit ribosomal RNA", at positions 338 to 795 of the family's 1533-position model. The record is from RNAcentral.